GUAUGGGAGUGAGAAUGUUGGCAUGAGUAGCGAGAUGUGGGUGAGAAUCCCACAGGCCGUAAACCCAAGGUUUCCAGGGGAAGGUUCGUCCGCCCUGGGUUAGUCGGGACCUAAGCUGAGGCCGAAAGGCGUAGGUGAUGGACAACAGGUUGAUAUUCCUGUACUACCGAUAACCGUUUGAGAGAAGGGAUGACACAGUAGGAUAAGCUAAGCACACUGUUGGUUAUGUGUGCCCAAGCAUUGAGGCAGUCAAAGUAGGCAAAUCCGCUUUGAUAAUGCUAGGAUGUGAUGGGGAGCGAAAUUUAGUAGCGAAGUAGCUGAUUUCACACUGUCAAGAAAAGUCUCUAUCGAGGUUAAAGGUACCCGUACCGCAAACCGACACAGGUGGGUGAGGAGAGUAUCCUAAGGCCAGCGAGAGAACUGUUGUUAAGGAACUCGGCAAAAUGACCCCGUAACUUAGGGAUAAGGGGUGCCACCAUCAGGUGGCCGCAGAGAAUAGGCCCAAGCGACUGUUUACCAAAAACAUAGGUUUCUGCUAAGUCGCAAGACGAUGUAUAGGAGCUGACGCCUGCCCGGUGCUGGAAGGUUAAGGGGAUCUGUUAGAGCAAUCGAAGCAGUGAACUUAAGCCCCAGUAAACGGCGGCCGUAACUAUAACGGUCCUAAGGUAGCGAAAUUCCUUGUCGGGUAAGUUCCGACCCGCACGAAAGGCGUAACGAUUUGGGCACUGUCUCAACAACAGACUCGGUGAAAUUGUAAUUCCGGUGAAGAUGCCGGAUACCUGCGACAGGACGGAAAGACCCCAUGGAGCUUUACUGUAGCUUGACAUUGGGUCUUGGUACUACAUGUACAGGAUAGGUGGGAGGCUUUGAAACCAGGACGCCAGUUUUGGCGGAGCCAUCCUUGGGAUACCACCCUUGUAGUACUGGGACUCUAACCAUAGGCCAUGAAUCUGGUCUUGGGACACUGUCAGGUGGGCAGUUUGACUGGGGCGGUCGCCUCCCAAAAGGUAACGGAGGCGCUCAAAGGUUCUCUCAGUACGGUCGGAAAUCGUACGUAGAGUGUAAAGGCAAAAGAGAGCUUGAUUGCAAGACAUACAGGUCGAGCAAGGAUGAA
RNAcentral lists this ribosomal RNA (1114 nucleotides) under Clostridioides difficile. RNAcentral describes it as "bacterial LSU rRNA". It matches the Rfam family "Bacterial large subunit ribosomal RNA", at positions 1280 to 2403 of the family's 2925-position model. The record is from RNAcentral. Lineage: Bacteria; Bacillati; Bacillota; Clostridia; Peptostreptococcales; Peptostreptococcaceae.